UAGGGAAUCUUCGGCAAUGGGGGCAACCCUGACCGAGCAACGCCGCGUGAGUGAAGAAGGUUUUCGGAUCGUAAAGCUCUGUUGUAAGAGAAGAACGUGUGUGAGAGUGGAAAGUUCACACAGUGACGGUAACUUACCAGAAAGGGACGGCUAACUACGUGCCAGCAGCCGCGGUAAUACGUAGGUCCCGAGCGUUGUCCGGAUUUAUUGGGCGUAAAGCGAGCGCAGGCGGUUUAAUAAGUCUGAAGUUAAAGGCAGUGGCUUAACCAUUGUUCGCUUUGGAAACUGUUAAACUUGAGUGCAGAAGAGGAGAGUGGAAUUCCAUGUGUAGCGGUGAAAUGCGUAGAUAUAUGGAGGAACACCGGUGGCGAAAGCGGCUCUCUGGUCUGUAACUGACGCUGAGGCUCGAAAGCGUGGGGAGCAAACAGG
This 429-nucleotide ribosomal RNA is filed under the name bacterium. RNAcentral's name for it is "partial 16S ribosomal RNA". It matches the Rfam family "Bacterial small subunit ribosomal RNA", at positions 355 to 776 of the family's 1533-position model. The record is from RNAcentral.